RNAcentral lists this ribosomal RNA (467 nucleotides) under uncultured bacterium. RNAcentral describes it as "bacterial SSU rRNA". It matches the Rfam family "Bacterial small subunit ribosomal RNA", at positions 331 to 794 of the family's 1533-position model. The record is from RNAcentral.
CCAGACUCCUACGGGAGGCAGCAGUGAGGAAUAUUGGUCAAUGGGCGGAAGCCUGAACCAGCCAAGUCGCGUGAGGGAUUAAGGCCCUAUGGGUCGUAAACCUCUUUUGUCAGGGAGCAAUGGCGUCCACGUGUGGGCGUAUGGAGAGUACCUGAAGAAAAAGCAUCGGCUAACUCCGUGCCAGCAGCCGCGGUAAUACGGGGGAUGCGAGCGUUAUCCGGAUUUAUUGGGUUUAAAGGGUGCGUAGGCGGCGCUUCAGGUCAGCGGUGAAAUACCGGGGCUCAACCCCGGGGCUGCCGUUGAAACCGGAGCGCUAGAAUUCCGAUGCCGUCGGAGGAAUGUGUGGUGUAGCGGUGAAAUGCAUAGAUAUCACACAGAACACCGAUUGCGAAGGCAUCUGACGAAUCGGAGAUUGACGCUGAUGCACGAAAGCGUGGGUAUCGAACAGGAUUAGAUACCCCGGUAGU